GCCAGGCGCAGUAGCACGUGCCUGUAGUCCCAGCUACUCGGGAGUCUGAGGUCGGAGGAUCACUUAAGCCCAGGAGUUCUGGGCUAUAGUGUGCUAUGCUGACCAGGUGUCCACACUAAGUUCGGCAUCAAUAUGGUGACCUCCCAGGAGAGGGGGACUACCAGGAUGUCUAAGGUGGGGUGAACCGGCCCAGGUCGGAAAUGAAGCACGUCAAAACUCCUGCGCUGAUCAGUAGUGGGAUCGCGCCUGUGAAUAGCCACUGCACUCUAGCCUGGGCAACACAGGAAGAUCCCAUCUCU
This 299-nucleotide signal recognition particle RNA is filed under the name Saimiri boliviensis boliviensis (Bolivian squirrel monkey). RNAcentral describes it as "Metazoan signal recognition particle RNA (ENSSBOG00000014538.1)". It matches the Rfam family "Metazoan signal recognition particle RNA". Rfam says of the family: The signal recognition particle (SRP) is a universally conserved ribonucleoprotein. It is involved in the co-translational targeting of proteins to membranes. The eukaryotic SRP consists of a 300-nucleotide 7S RNA and six proteins: SRPs 72, 68, 54, 19, 14, and 9. The record is from RNAcentral. Lineage: Eukaryota; Metazoa; Chordata; Mammalia; Primates; Cebidae.